Molecule: long non-coding RNA, 577 nt
Filed under: Mytilus galloprovincialis (Mediterranean mussel)
Lineage: Eukaryota; Metazoa; Mollusca; Bivalvia; Mytilida; Mytilidae
Source: RNAcentral
UUAGCCCAGGGGUUCCAGUACAAGUUGUGUUCUUCCGCACUUAAGUAUUUUGAAGAAAUAUGUUUCUCUAAAAUUAAGUUUUCUUUUAUGUAAUUUUGAAGACCUUUUAUAUAAGGUUUUAUAUCUUGCAUCUUACAUCUGUAAAUAAAGUACUUCGUCAGUAAGAUAACUUUAUUUUUAAUAAAAUUCAGUUUAUAAUUUUCAUAAAGGCCAAAAAUGACAAUUUUCAAAUUAAGUGGAAUUUCGAUAAGAACCUUAUCGAAAAUCCAUGAAUUUAGAUUGUGCCAAAUGUCGGCUACAAUAUGACAACCCCAAAGUAAAUGUUCUAUAGUUUCAGGCUCUUCCUUGCAAAAUGUACACAAAUUACAAUUAACAAGCUUCAUUUUAAAAAGUAAAGCAUUUGUCCCUAAAAUAUAAUGAAUAAUUCUAUAUUGAAACCAACAUAACCUAGUGUUUUUUGAAACCUUGGUAACACACAAGUGUAUUUUUUUCCAAUUUUCUACAACUUUGUUAAGAAUACCUUCCCAUUUUUUUUCUGCUACAAAAUCUGUAGGUAAAAUUCCUUGAUUUAAAAUAG